UACGUAGGGGGCAAGCGUUGUCCGGAAUCAUUGGGCGUAAAGAGCGUGUAGGUGGCUCGGUAAGUCCGCUGUGAAAGUCCAGGGCUCAACCCUGGAAAGCCGGUGGAAACUGUCGAGCUCGAGUCCGGAAGAGGCGAGUGGAAUUCCUGGUGUAGCGGUGGAAUGCGUAGAGAUCGGGAAGAACACCCGUGGCGAAGGCGACGUGCUGGGCUGCAUCUGACGCUGAGGUGCGAAAGUGUGGGGAGCAAACGGG
This 253-nucleotide ribosomal RNA is filed under the name uncultured bacterium. RNAcentral describes it as "partial 16S ribosomal RNA". It matches the Rfam family "Bacterial small subunit ribosomal RNA", at positions 524 to 776 of the family's 1533-position model. The record is from RNAcentral.